RNAcentral lists this ribosomal RNA (2112 nucleotides) under Nepenthes x hookeriana. RNAcentral describes it as "eukaryotic LSU rRNA". It matches the Rfam family "Eukaryotic large subunit ribosomal RNA", at positions 1130 to 3401 of the family's 3401-position model. The record is from RNAcentral. Lineage: Eukaryota; Viridiplantae; Streptophyta; Magnoliopsida; Caryophyllales; Nepenthaceae.
GCCAUUUGGUAAGCAGAACUGCGAUGCGGGAUGAACCGGAAGCCGGGUUACGGUGCGGACUGCGCGCUAAUCCUAAGAUCCACAAAAGGGUGUUGGUCGAUUAAGACAGCAGACGGUGGUCAUGGAAGUCGAAAUCGCUAAGGAGUGUGUAACAACUCACCUGCCGAUCAACUAGCCCCGAAAAUGGAUGGCGCUUAAGCGCGCGACCUACACCCGGCCGUCGGGGCAAGUGGCCAGGCCCCGAUGAUGUGGAGGGCGCGGCGGUCGCCGCAAGCCUGUGGCGCGAGCCAGGGCGGAGCGGCCGUCGGUGCAGAUCUUGGUGGUAGUAGCAAUAUUCAAGUGAGAACUUUGAAGGGCCGAAGAGGGGAAAGGUUCCAUGUGAACGCACUUGCACAUGGUUAGUCGAUCCUAAGAGAACGGGGGAAGCCCGUCCCCGACGGCGGCCAGCGCGAGCUUCGAAGGGAAUCGGGUUAACAUUCCUGAAACCGGGACGUGGCGGCUGACGGCACGUUAGGGAGUCGGAGAGUCCGGCGGGGGCCUCGGGAAGAGUUAUCUUUUCUGUUUAACAGCCUGCCCACCCUGGAAACGGCUCAGCCGAGGUAGGGUCCAGCGAGCCGGAGACGCACCUGCACGUCGCGUGGUGUCCGGUGCGCCCCCGGCGGCCUUGAAAAUCCGGAGGACCAGAGUGCCGACCACGCCCGGUCGUACUCAUAACCUGCAUAGGUCUCCAGGUGAACAGCCUCUGGUCGAUGGAACAAUGUAGGCAAGGGAAGUCGGGCAAAAAUGGAUCCGUAACUUCGGGAAAGGAUUGGCUCUGAGGUCUGGGCACGGGGGUCCCAGUCCGACCCGUCGGCUGUCGGUGGACUGCUCGAGCUGCCUCCGCGGCGAGAGCGGGUCGCCGCGUUUGCCGGCCGGGGACGGACUGGGAACGGCUCCCUCAGGGGCCGUUCCCGGGCGUCGAACAGCCGACUCAGAACUGGUACGGACAGGGGAAAUCCGACUGUUUAAUUAAAAACAAAGCAUUGCGAUGGUCCCUGAGGAAAUGAUAACGCAAUUGUGAUUUUUGCCCAGUGCUCUGAAUGUCAAAGUGAAGAAUUCAACCAAGCGCGGUAAACGGCGGAGUAACUAUGACUCUCUUAAGGUAGCCAAAUGCCUCGUCAUCUAAUAGUGACGCAGCAUGAAUGGAUUAACGAGAUUCCCACUGUCCCUGUCUACUAUCCACGAAACCACAGCAAGGGGCAGGGUGGAAACGGGCUUGGCAGAAUCAGCGGGGAAAGAAAGACCCUGUUGAGCUUGACUCUAGUCCGACUUUGUGAAAUGACUUGAGAGGUGUAGGAAAGUGGGAGCCCUCGGGCAAAAGUGAAAUACCACUAAGCUUUUAACGUUAGUUUACUACUCCGUGAGUCGGAGGCGGGGCAUUGCCCCUCUUUUGGACCCAAGCCCGCCCGCGGGCCCGAUCCGAGGCGAGGACAUUGUCAGGUGGGGGAGUUUGGACUGGGGCGGCCACAUCUGUUAAAAGAUUAACGCAGGUGUCCUAAGAUGAGCUCGACGAAACAGAAAUCUCGUGUGGAACAGAAGGGUAAAAGCUCGUUUGAUUCUGAUUUUCAGUAACGAAUACGAACCGUGAAAGCGUGGCGCUAACGAUGCCUUUAGACCUUCGGAAUUUGAAAGCUAGAGGUGUCAGAAAAAGUUACCACAGGGAUAACUGGCUUGUGGCAGCCAAGCGUUCCAUAGCGACGUUGCUUUUUUGAAUCCUUAGAUGUCAGGCUCUUCCUAUCAAUUGUGGAAGCAGAAUUCACCAAGUGUUUGGAUUGUUCACCCCACCAAUAGGGAACGUGAGCUGGGUUUAGAACGUCCGUGAAGACAGGUUAGUUUUACCUACUAGAUGCAGUGUCGCCGAUGGUAUAUUCAUCCUAGUACGAAGAGGAACCGUUGAUUCGCACAAUUGGUCCUUCGCGCUUGGUGAAAAGCCAGUUGGCGCGAAGCUCUGUGGCGCUGGAUUAUGACUGACGCCUCUAAGUCAGAAUGGGCAGAAGCGCGACGCGUGCGCUACAUCGCCGCUCUGUUUGCCGACCCGCAGUAGGGGCCCAGGCCCCAAGGGCACGUGCUCGU